GACCACUCCGGUGGUCUAGUGGCUAAAGCGUCCGCCUCGGAUGCGGGAAGCCACGGGUUUUGAACCCUGGCCGAGUCA
Potamilus streckersoni is the source of this 78-nucleotide non-coding RNA. NCBI's taxonomy places the organism in Eukaryota, Metazoa, Mollusca, Bivalvia, Unionida, Unionidae. The record is from the annotation of a GenBank genome assembly.